GUGCUCACUUCGGCAGCACAGAUACCAAAAUUGGAACGGCACAGAGACAAUGAGCAUGGCCCCUACUCAAGGAUGACAUGCAAAUUCAUGAAGCGUUCCAUAUUUUU
RNAcentral lists this small nuclear RNA (107 nucleotides) under Zalophus californianus (California sea lion). The record is from RNAcentral. Lineage: Eukaryota; Metazoa; Chordata; Mammalia; Carnivora; Otariidae.